UGGGGAAUAUUGCACAAUGGGCGAAAGCCUGAUGCAGCAACGCCGCGUGAGCGAUGAAGGCCUUCGGGUCGUAAAGCUCUGUCCUCAAGGAAGAUAAUGACGGUACUUGAGGAGGAAGCCCCGGCUAACUACGUGCCAGCAGCCGCGGUAAUACGUAGGGGGCUAGCGUUAUCCGGAUUUACUGGGCGUAAAGGGUGCGUAGGCGGUCUUUCAAGUCAGGAGUGAAAGGCUACGGCUCAACCGUAGUAAGCUCUUGAAACUGUAAGACUUGAGUGCAGGAGAGGAGAGUGGAAUUCCUAGUGUAGCGGUGAAAUGCGUAGAUAUUAGGAGGAACACCAGUUGCGAAGGCGGCUCUCUGGACUGUAACUGACGCUGAGGCACGAAAGCGUGGGGAGCAAACAGG
RNAcentral lists this ribosomal RNA (403 nucleotides) under Brucella melitensis. RNAcentral describes it as "partial 16S ribosomal RNA". It matches the Rfam family "Bacterial small subunit ribosomal RNA", at positions 355 to 776 of the family's 1533-position model. The record is from RNAcentral. RNAcentral also lists the same sequence under 2 other names. Lineage: Bacteria; Pseudomonadati; Pseudomonadota; Alphaproteobacteria; Hyphomicrobiales; Brucellaceae.